This 213-nucleotide long non-coding RNA is filed under the name Capsella rubella. RNAcentral describes it as "long non-coding RNA (CRUB_LNC002723)". Lineage: Eukaryota; Viridiplantae; Streptophyta; Magnoliopsida; Brassicales; Brassicaceae. The record is from RNAcentral.
ACAAACUGAGGUUUCUUGACAUGGUAGCAGAGCUACAAACCUAACUACGAAAAACGGUUUUGUAUUGCUCGAUCUUGUGAUUUUGUUUCCGCUGUCACUACUACUCUGUUUUUCUUCUCUCUCUGCUUGACCUCUCUUUCGAUUUUCUCUUUUAAUCGAAAGUUUUUCUAAACGAUGAGUGAAAUGGCUGUAGCUCGUGUUGAAACUCGUCGC